CCUGAUCCAGCAACGCCGCGUGAGGGAUGACGGCCUUCGGGUUGUAAACCUCUUUCAAAAGGGAGGAAGCGAAAGUGACGGUACCUGCAGAAGAAGGACCGGCCAACUACGUGCCAGCAGCCGCGGUAAUACGUAGGGUCCGAGCGUUGUCCGGAAUUAUUGGGCGUAAAGGGCUCGUAGGCGGUUUGUCGCGUCGGGAGUGAAAACUCAGGGCUCAACCCUGAGCGUGCUUCCGAUACGGGCAGACUAGAGGUAUUCAGGGGAGAACGGAAUUCCUGGUGUAGCGGUGGAAUGCGCAGAUAUCAGGAGGAACACCGGUGGCGAAGGCGGUUCUCUGGGAAUAACCUGACGCUGAGGAGCGAAAGCAUGGGUAGCGAACAGGAUUAGAUACCCUGGUAGUCCAUGCCGUAAACGUUGGGCGCUAGGUGUGGGGACCUUCCACGGUCUCCGUGCCGCAGCUAACGCAUUAAGCGCCCCGCCUGGGGAGUACGGCCGCAAGGCUAAAACUCAAAUGAAUUGACGGGG
RNAcentral lists this ribosomal RNA (525 nucleotides) under Aeromicrobium ginsengisoli. RNAcentral's name for it is "bacterial SSU rRNA". It matches the Rfam family "Bacterial small subunit ribosomal RNA", at positions 382 to 918 of the family's 1533-position model. Lineage: Bacteria; Bacillati; Actinomycetota; Actinomycetes; Propionibacteriales; Nocardioidaceae. The record is from RNAcentral.